UGCAGCGGCCACCGGACCAGA
This 21-nucleotide unclassified non-coding RNA is filed under the name Chlamydomonas reinhardtii. RNAcentral describes it as "small RNA Cre_3016". Lineage: Eukaryota; Viridiplantae; Chlorophyta; Chlorophyceae; Chlamydomonadales; Chlamydomonadaceae. The record is from RNAcentral.